This 253-nucleotide ribosomal RNA is filed under the name uncultured bacterium. Its description in RNAcentral is "partial 16S ribosomal RNA". It matches the Rfam family "Bacterial small subunit ribosomal RNA", at positions 524 to 776 of the family's 1533-position model. The record is from RNAcentral.
UACAGAGGGUGCAAGCGUUAAUCGGAAUUACUGGGCGUAAAGCGUGCGUAGACGGUUAUGUAAGUCUGAUGUGAAAGCCCUGGGCUCAACCUGGGAAUUGCAUUGGAUACUGGCAGGCUAGAGUGCGGUAGGGGAUGGCGGAAUUCCCGGUGUAGCAGUGAAAUGCGUAGAGAUCGGGAGGAACAUCUGUGGCGAAGGCGGCCAUCUGGACCAGCACUGACACUGAGGCACGAAAGCGUGGGGAGCAAACAGG